UUUGGCCCAAAAUGUUCAUUUCAGUGCAUAUAAUCAUAUGUUCCAGAAAAGAAAAUAUACUAUAUAUGUUAUAUGGACUAUUUUUUAUAAGGUUUUUGGUGAUUUUUGUCCUUUUUUCAUUGCUACUGUACAGAAAAAUCGCUUUGUGAAUAUUCUACUAAACUACUAAACAUUUUACGGAAGGAAAAUUACAGGUUUAGAAAUACAUGAGGGUGAGUGAACAUUCAUUUUUUGGGUGAACUAUCCCUUUAAAUUGUCUUCUGAUUCAUACUCCGAGUUAAUAAUAGCACAUGAGAUCACCACGGACCGAGGGACGGGACGGGACGGGACGGGAUGGUGGCGCCCAGUUCAGCUUGGUUUAGCUCUUUGAUUCGGCCCCUGCUGUGGCACCUUGACCUCCAGAGGUCAAACUACAAUCUCUCCAUUCAGACGAGUAGGAUUAUAAAACUAGUCCCCCUCUCUGAGAAGUUAUUCUUUCAGCUUUUGUCCCUGUAAACUAACCACUCUUUGCAAAGUGGGGGCAAAGACGUCAAAAACGCCUCCUCCUCCUCCUAAUUACUUCUUUCUCUUGCGAUCGGAGCUUUUGUUCGGCUAAAGCCCGGUGGGUCACCCGGCCCGCUCGAUGCGUUCCCUGAAGAGAAACCAACAGUGUGUUUCAAGGACACGCAGUCAGGGAAUGCAAGACACCUGAGAAUAGUGUGUGUGUGUGUGUGUGUGUGAAGUGCUUGUUACUGGAAGACUAAUGUGUUUUCAGUGUGUGUGAGACACGAGGAAAAGCCAGAGGAAACAGGGAAAGGGAGGACGGCCUGGCGCGGAUCGCUCUUGGCAGCGGAGAGAAGAAAAACGAGAUCGGGUGACUGGGCAGAGAGAGUUCACGGCCGAAAGCAGAGAAGAGGGAAAAAAAGAGAAAGAUGAUCUCCGUGUUUUUCACGGGCAACAAGAAUAAAUUCAAGCGAACGACCUCUUUAGGAUCCUCCACGACCCCAGCCGGGAGACGCCGGAGUCUGUGCAUUACGCUCUGAACCUGCGACCUCGGGCUGUAUUUAACUAACGGCCGCUUAUCUGAGUGUGUGCAAACGUAAAUCUUGCACUUUUUCCAUCCCAAAACAGAUAAAGGAAGACCAGUAUCUUUUCUCGUCUGAGAUCUACAGCAGUUCUCUUAAAACAGAUGUGAAUUAUGACUGAUAUGAGCUCUCUCUCAUCUGAGACAGCACAGGAUCUGAUUCAUACAUGAAUAUGAAUGCACAAGUGAUGCUUUAACGCAGGCAGAAUGAUGUUUUUGUAUGUUCUCAAUGGCAUACUAACAUACUACGUUUACAUGUAUGCAUUUAGCAGACGCUAAAGUGACCUGCAUAAAAAACAGAGGCAUUAUAGAGUGCAGAAUGCAAGAAAAUAGUAUGGAGGAGAGAGAGCAAGUGUGUGUGUGAAUAGGAAAAAAUCUGGAAUGUUUUCCUCCAAAACCUUCAUUUAAUUCUGGAGUGAACUAAUCCUUUAAAUUACAGUAAAUAUUCUGUGUGUAAACAGAGAGAGAGAGAGACACGGGGCAGCCGAGAUGCUCUAAUAGAGUCAUUAAACUCCUCAAGCAGAUGACAAGACCUGAUGGAGGAGUGAGAGAAGAGGAGGAGGAGGAGGAGAACAGUGCUCUCACAGGUCAGAGGAGGUUUCAGAGAUUGACUGAACGUGAAAGCCGCAGAGGUUCAUGAACAGCGCGGGUUCACACGGGCCGCCGCUCAAACUGAACCCAGCGACGGAGCCCUCUGGAGAGUCUGCCAUGACCGUCUGCUGUCCUUCUAAAUGAAGUCAUUUUGAAGCGCUGCUGCGGCUCAGGAAGCGCCUACGGUCUGUGUAUCAUCUGCGGGGGACGGAGGCGACGAGAGGAGCCAACAGGAUAUUAAACAGGCCGAUGUCUAUCGCAGGGGGCACCGGACCAAACUCAUCUGGAAUACUCUGCAGUCUGACCAGCACAUGUCCGCACAUCUUCACUUAGAACUUUUGAGAUUUUGGAGACAUUUCAAAACUCGUUAUGAAUUUAAAUUUCGGCCCUAAACAUGCUUUAAAAUUUUGUGAUAAUGCAAUGACAUUUAUACUACUUUUAAGAGUGAGAAAUAAUUUCUGGGGUCAGAUUAGAGCUGCACGAUUAAUCGUUAAAAGAUAGCAAUCUCGAUUCAAACACCCGUGCGAUCGUAUUCCUAAAUUACAAUGAUUCAGCUCUGUCUAAUAAACCUUUGACAAGUACGAUCACAGCGAACAUUCAGAUUGUAGAACUGGAAAAAAAGUUUAUAGUUCAGAUAUAAACACUGAUGUCUAGAGUAGCGAUUAAAAUAGAAUAAAUCACCUUUAGAAAAUAAACUGACGCUUCAAAUAAAGAUUGUAUUGCAUCAUUACACCAGUAGGU
Molecule: long non-coding RNA, 2395 nt
Organism: Megalobrama amblycephala (Wuchang bream)
Lineage: Eukaryota; Metazoa; Chordata; Actinopteri; Cypriniformes; Xenocyprididae
Exons: 3
Source: RefSeq, a predicted model, not a curated record